RNAcentral lists this ribosomal RNA (324 nucleotides) under uncultured eukaryote. Its description in RNAcentral is "partial 18S ribosomal RNA". It matches the Rfam family "Eukaryotic small subunit ribosomal RNA", at positions 1470 to 1796 of the family's 1831-position model. The record is from RNAcentral.
CCCUUAGCUGUUCUGGGCUGCACGCGCGCUACACUGAAGCUAUCAACACGUUUUCCCUCCCUGAGAAGGGCGGGUAACCUUUUGAAUCAGCUUCGUGGUAGGGAUCGGGGCUUGCAAUUGUUCCCCGUGAACCAGGAAUUCCUAGUAGACGCGAGUCAUAAGCUCGCAUCGAUUAAGUCCCUGCCCUUUGUACACACCGCCCGUCGCUACUACCGAUUGAACGUUUUAGUGAGGCAUUUGGACCGACGCAUCUCAGUUUAACCGCUGGUUUGUGUUGGAAAGACUUCCAAACUUGAGCGUUUAGAGGAAGUAAAAGUCGUAACA